Molecule: ribosomal RNA, 449 nt
Filed under: uncultured bacterium
Lineage: Bacteria
Description: partial 16S ribosomal RNA
Rfam family: Bacterial small subunit ribosomal RNA
Source: RNAcentral
AAACCAGACUCCUACGGGAGGCAGCAGUGGGGGAUAUUGCACAAUGGGGGGAACCCUGAUGCAGCGACGCCGCGUGGGUGAAGGAGUAUUUCGGUAUGUAAAGCCCUAUCGGCAGGGAAGAAGAAAGACGGUACCUGACUAAGAAGCUCCAGCUAAAUACGUGCCAGCAGCCGCGGUAAUACGUAUGGAGCAAGCGUUAUCCGGAUUUACUGGGUGUAAAGGGAGCGCAGGCGGCCUUGCAAGUCUGAUGUGAAAGGCCGGGGCCCAACCCCGGGACUGCAUUGGAAACUGCGAGGCUGGAGUGUCGGAGAGGCAGGCGGAAUUCCUAGUGUAGCGGUGAAAUGCGUAGAUAUUAGGAGGAACACCAGUGGCGAAGGCGGCCUGCUGGACAGUAACUGACGUUGAGGCUCGAAAGCGUGGGGAGCAAACAGGAUUAGAUACCCGUGUAC